GGGGAAUUAGCUCAGCUGGGAGAGCGCUUCGCUGGCAGUGAAGAGGUCGACGGUUCGAGCCCGUUAUUCUCCACCA
RNAcentral lists this transfer RNA (76 nucleotides) under Sulfurovum sp. Its description in RNAcentral is "tRNA-Ala". It matches the Rfam family "tRNA". Rfam says of the family: Transfer RNA (tRNA) molecules are approximately 80 nucleotides in length. Lineage: Bacteria; Pseudomonadati; Campylobacterota; Epsilonproteobacteria; Campylobacterales; Sulfurovaceae. The record is from RNAcentral.